UGCUCCUUGUAUCCUAUGUCUGUAUUGUGACCAUAGUUCUUCAAUCACUACAAGAAAGCAGGUUAUUAGCGAUGGCUAAAUGCUAUCACUAAUACCCCUUUCUCCAUGUUUAAUAGUAUUAGUGAUGGACUCCAAUCGCUAAUAGUAUUAGUGCGGACUCCCAUCGCUAAUAGUUCAUCGAAAAUAAGAUCAUCGCUAAUAAUCAUUAUUAG
RNAcentral lists this long non-coding RNA (212 nucleotides) under Elaeis guineensis (African oil palm). RNAcentral's name for it is "long non-coding RNA (EGUI_LNC009969)". The record is from RNAcentral. Lineage: Eukaryota; Viridiplantae; Streptophyta; Magnoliopsida; Arecales; Arecaceae.